This 386-nucleotide transfer-messenger RNA is filed under the name Helicobacter pylori. It matches the Rfam family "transfer-messenger RNA". Rfam says of the family: Bacterial tmRNA, also known as 10Sa RNA or SsrA, is named for its dual tRNA and mRNA-like properties. RNAcentral also lists the same sequence under 1 other name. The record is from RNAcentral. Lineage: Bacteria; Pseudomonadati; Campylobacterota; Epsilonproteobacteria; Campylobacterales; Helicobacteraceae.
GGGGCUGACUUGGAUUUCGACAGAUUUCUUGUCGCACAGAUAGCAUGCCAAGUGCUGCUUGUAAAACAGCAACAAAAAUAACUGUAAACAACACAGAUUACGCUCCAGCUUACGCUAAAGCUGCGUGAGUUAAUCUCCUUUUGGAGCUGGACUGAUUAGAAUUUCUAGCGUUUUAAUCACUCCAUAACCUUAAGCUAGACGCUUUUAAAAGGUGGUUCGCCUUUUAAACUAAGAAACAAGAACUCUUGAAACUACCUCAAGGUUUUAGAAAGUUGGACCAGAGCUAGUUUUAAGGCUAAAAAACUAACCAAUUUUCUAAGCAUUGUAGAAGUUUGUGUUUAGGGCAAGAUUUUUGGACUGGGGUUCGAUUCCCCACAGCUCCACCA